AUUGCUGGGUAGCUAAGUUCGGAAUGGAUAACCGCUGAAAGCAUCUAAGCGGGAAGCCAACCUCAAGAUUAGAUAUCCCAUCCCGAUGGAAACAUCGGGACUUAAGACCCCUUGUAGACUACAAGGUUGAUAGGCCAGGUGUGUAAGUACGGCAACGUAUUUAGCUUACUGGUACUAAUUGGUCGUGAGGCUUGGCCAC
This 199-nucleotide ribosomal RNA is filed under the name Deltaproteobacteria bacterium. Its description in RNAcentral is "partial 23S ribosomal RNA". It matches the Rfam family "Bacterial large subunit ribosomal RNA", at positions 2737 to 2925 of the family's 2925-position model. Lineage: Bacteria; Pseudomonadati; Myxococcota; Myxococcia. The record is from RNAcentral.